AACGAACGCUGGCGGCAGGCCUAACACAUGCAAGUCGAGCGAGGACUUCGGUCCUAGCGGCGGACGGGUGAGUAACGCGUGGGAACGUGCCCUUUGCUUCGGAAUAGCCCUGGGAAACUGGGAGUAAUACCGGAUGAGCCCUUUGGGGGAAAGAUUUAUCGGCGAAGGAUCGGCCCGCGUUGGAUUAGGUAGUUGGUGGGGUAAUGGCCUACCAAGCCGACGAUCCAUAGCUGGUUUGAGAGGAUGAUCAGCCACACUGGGACUGAGACACGGCCCAGACUACUACGGGAGGGAGCAGUGGGGAAUCUUAGACAAUGGGGGAAACCCUGAUCUAGCCAUGCCGCGUGAGAGAUGAAGGCCUUAGGGUUGUAAAGCUCUUUCAGCUGGGAAGAUAAUGACGGUACCAGCAGAAGAAGCCCCGGCUAACUCCGUG
Molecule: ribosomal RNA, 433 nt
Filed under: uncultured bacterium
Lineage: Bacteria
Description: partial 16S ribosomal RNA
Rfam family: Bacterial small subunit ribosomal RNA
Source: RNAcentral